GAGGCUAGUCUGUGGAGCCGGGUUAGCUCUCCUCCAGUUGGUGUCUGACCAGUUGGACCCUUAUAGCGCAACCGGUGUGGGAGUCCGGGUCAUCCAAAAAAAUGGCAUUGUCCAUGGAUGGUGGUGCAUGGUGGCCGGAUAUAGCAUGUGGUUGUGCCGGGGUUACUUUUAACUUGAAGCUUGAAUGUGUAGGUUCCAACAGCAAAGAGGAGGCUAGAGUCUGCAAAACUGCAUCUAAUGUAGUAACAGCCACAUCCCACAGAAACGAUCAUGGAUCUCAGCAUCUCGCGAUGAGGGCAUAAAAUUCUGGGAAAAUCACCUGUAGGUACAAACAUCCUCGAACCAGACUUCGACUUUUUGGUGGCAAG
Molecule: long non-coding RNA, 368 nt
Filed under: Eucalyptus grandis
Lineage: Eukaryota; Viridiplantae; Streptophyta; Magnoliopsida; Myrtales; Myrtaceae
Description: long non-coding RNA (EGRA_LNC007555)
Source: RNAcentral